This 253-nucleotide ribosomal RNA is filed under the name uncultured bacterium. Its description in RNAcentral is "partial 16S ribosomal RNA". It matches the Rfam family "Bacterial small subunit ribosomal RNA", at positions 524 to 776 of the family's 1533-position model. The record is from RNAcentral.
UACGGAGGAUGCAAGCGUUAUCCGGAAUGAUUGGGCGUAAAGCGUCCGCAGGUGGCAAUGUAAGUCUGCUGUCAAAGCGUCUGGCUCAACCAGAUAAAGGCAGUGGAAACUACAUAGCUAGAGUAAGGUAGGGGUAGAGGGAAUUCCUGGUGUAGCGGUGAAAUGCGUAGAGAUCAGGAGGAACAUCGAUGGCGAAGGCAAUCACCUGGGCCUGAACUGACACUGAGACACGAAAGCGUGGGUAGCAAACAGG